GGGCGUAUAGCUCAGACGGUUAGAGCGCAUCCCUGAUAAGGAUGAGGUCCGUGGUUCAAGUCCACGUACGCCCA
RNAcentral lists this transfer RNA (74 nucleotides) under Halostreptopolyspora alba. RNAcentral's name for it is "Nocardiopsaceae bacterium YIM 96095 tRNA". It matches the Rfam family "tRNA". Rfam says of the family: Transfer RNA (tRNA) molecules are approximately 80 nucleotides in length. Their secondary structure includes four short double-helical elements and three loops (D, anti-codon, and T loops). Further hydrogen bonds mediate the characteristic L-shaped molecular structure. tRNAs have two regions of fundamental functional importance: the anti-codon, which is responsible for specific mRNA codon recognition, and the 3' end, to which the tRNAs corresponding amino acid is attached (by aminoacyl-tRNA synthetases). tRNAs cope with the degeneracy of the genetic code in two manners: having more than one tRNA (with a specific anti-codon) for a particular amino acid; and 'wobble' base-pairing, i.e. permitting non-standard base-pairing at the 3rd anti-codon position. The record is from Rfam by way of RNAcentral. RNAcentral also lists the same sequence under 1 other name. Lineage: Bacteria; Bacillati; Actinomycetota; Actinomycetes; Streptosporangiales; Nocardiopsidaceae.